CCACCGGGUCCUCUGACAGCUCCGCACCCAUCAUCACCACCGGGCUCGAGGAUCAGCCUAACCUGAAGCUGCAAAUCUCUGACAUUGAGUGGUUUUUGGGCCUCGACAAUGAGCCAGUCCAGGCCCAAGCCCAGAUCCAGGCCCAGGCUGAGCCUCUGCCUGGUGGUGAUGCUGAGUGGGAGAGCGAUUUCAUGGACCUGUGG
Molecule: microRNA precursor, 203 nt
Filed under: Lotus japonicus
Lineage: Eukaryota; Viridiplantae; Streptophyta; Magnoliopsida; Fabales; Fabaceae
Description: miR7523a stem-loop (lja-MIR7523a, lja-MIR7523b)
Source: miRBase by way of RNAcentral